GGCCGUGUAGCCCAAUGGCAGAGGCCGCCGUCUCAGAAACGGUGCAGUGGAGGUUCGAAUCCUCCCACGGUCAC
Molecule: transfer RNA, 74 nt
Filed under: Phycisphaerales bacterium
Lineage: Bacteria; Pseudomonadati; Planctomycetota; Phycisphaerae; Phycisphaerales
Description: tRNA-Ser
Rfam family: tRNA
About the family: Transfer RNA (tRNA) molecules are approximately 80 nucleotides in length.
Source: RNAcentral